Long non-coding RNA from Macrobrachium nipponense, 219 nucleotides. RefSeq lists it as uncharacterized. The transcript is spliced from 3 exons. The record is from RefSeq and is a predicted model, not a curated record. Lineage: Eukaryota; Metazoa; Arthropoda; Malacostraca; Decapoda; Palaemonidae.
UUUCAGGAUGCAACUGUGUGCAGAAACAUGGCCCAUCUCCGUCACCCUAUCGUUCAAGUUUGCCGGGUUGUAGAGCUCCGCCCUCAAGACUACUGGAGGGAGGACUGCACGCACUCAAUCAGUUGCUGUAAGUGGAGGCAUUCCAAAGUGACUAUUGGUCUCAAGCCCUUUGAAGGAAUACCCGCCUGAAGAUAUGAGGAAGAUCCUGACUGUUUUCCC